AGAGUUUGAUUAUGGCUCAGGAUGAACGCUGGCGGCGUGCCUAAUACAUGCAAGUCGUACGAACAAGAUCCAGCUUGCUGGAUUGAGUUAGUGGCGAACGGGUGAGUAAUACGUAAGCAACCUGCCUACACGGACUGGGAUAACACCUGGAAACGGGCGCUAAUACCGGAUAGGUAACGGGAGGGCAUCCUUCUGUUAUUAAAGGUUAGAAACACAAGUAGAUGGGCUUACGGUGCAUUAGCUGGUUGGUGAGGUAACGGCCCACCAAGGCGAUGAUGCAUAGCCGGCCUGAGAGGGUGAACGGCCACAUUGGGACUGAGACACGGCCCAGACUCCUACGGGAGGCAGCAGUAGGGAAUUUUCGGCAAUGGGCGCAAGCCUGACCGAGCAACGCCGCGUGAGUGAUGAAGGUUUUCGGAUUGUAAAGCUCUGUUGUAAGGGAAGAACAGCACGGAUAGACUCCGUGUCCGACGGUACCUUACCAGAAAGCCACGGCUAACUACGUGCCAGCCGCAGC
Molecule: ribosomal RNA, 517 nt
Filed under: uncultured bacterium
Lineage: Bacteria
Description: bacterial SSU rRNA
Rfam family: Bacterial small subunit ribosomal RNA
Source: RNAcentral